AUUGAACGCUGGCGGAAUGCCUUACACGUGCAAGUCGAACGGUAGAGGGGGCAACCCCUCGAGAGUGGCGAACGGGUGAGUAAUAUAUCGGAACGUGCCCAGUCGUGGGGGAUAACGUAGCGAAAGUUACGCUAAUACCGCAUACGAUCUAAGGAUGAAAGCGGGGGAUCGCAAGACCUCGCGCGAUUGGAGCGGCCGAUAUCAGAUUAGGUAGUUGGUGGGGUAAAGGCUCACCAAGCCAACGAUCUGUAGCUGGUCUGAGAGGACGACCAGCCACACUGGAACUGAGACACGGUCCAGACUCCUACGGGAGGCAGCAGUGGGGAAUUUUGGACAAUGGACGCAAGUCUGAUCCAGCCAUUCCGCGUGCAGGAUGAAGGCCCUCGGGUUGUAAACUGCUUUUGUACGGAACGAAAAGGUCUCUCUUAAUACGGGGGGCUCAUGACGGUACCGUAAGAAUAAGCACCGGCUAACUACGUGCCAGCCGCCGCGGUAA
This 496-nucleotide ribosomal RNA is filed under the name uncultured bacterium. Its description in RNAcentral is "partial 16S ribosomal RNA". It matches the Rfam family "Bacterial small subunit ribosomal RNA", at positions 30 to 523 of the family's 1533-position model. The record is from RNAcentral.